Molecule: ribosomal RNA, 549 nt
Filed under: uncultured Glomus
Lineage: Eukaryota; Fungi; Glomeromycota; Glomeromycetes; Glomerales; Glomeraceae
Description: SSU rRNA
Rfam family: Eukaryotic small subunit ribosomal RNA
Source: RNAcentral
UUGGAGGGCAAGUCUGGUGCCAGCAGCCGCGGUAAUUCCAGCUCCAAUAGCGUAUAUUAAAGUUGUUGCAGUUAAAAAGCUCGUAGUUGAAUUUCGAGAUCAGUACGCUGGUCGUGCCUUCGGUAUGCACUGGUGUCACUGGUUUCUCCCUUCUGAAGAACCGUCAUGUCAUUAAGUUGGUGUGGCGGGGAAUCAGGACUGUUACUUUGAAAAAAUUAGAGUGUUUAAAGCAGGCUCGCGCUUGAAUACAUUAGCAUGGAAUAAUGAAAUAGGACGUUUGACCCUAUUUUGUUGGUUUCUAGGAUCGACGUAAUGAUUAAUAGGGAUAGUUGGGGGCAUUAGUAUUCAAUUGUCAGAGGUGAAAUUCUUGGAUUUAUUGAAGACUAACUACUGCGAAAGCAUUUGCCAAGGAUGUUUUCAUUAAUCAAGAACGAAAGUUAGGGGACCGAAGACGAUCAGAUACCGUCGUAGUCUUAACCAUAAACUAUGCCGACUAGGGAUCGGAUGAUGUUAAUUUUUUAAUGACUCAUUCGGCGCCUUACGGGAACA